Thalassophryne amazonica is the source of this 257-nucleotide long non-coding RNA. RefSeq lists it as uncharacterized. Lineage: Eukaryota; Metazoa; Chordata; Actinopteri; Batrachoidiformes; Batrachoididae. The transcript is spliced from 3 exons. The record is from RefSeq and is a predicted model, not a curated record.
AGAAAAAGGGAGGCUUCCGAAGUUUGUGAGUUAAAUGAUCCGGUCACUAGCUUCCACUGGCUGUUUCCUCUGUUCAAGUUGGACACAGCAGGCUGGGGUGUGUGGCCACGCCUCCUGCACUAAAGGGGGAGAAAGACCCUGCCUUCCUACACAGAUCAUGAAACUAGAGGGACACAGUCUGUAGACAUGAGAUGGAAUUUCAGUGACUUAUGGAAACAAAUACACACACAUCUAUAUUAUACUUUGAAACAUUUCUG